UACCAACCUCAAAUUGCAUAGUUUUUAGCGGGCCACCGCGAUGGCAACGCCGUCGCCGCCGCCGCCGCCAGCGUUCGUGUACCGGAUCAACACGGGGGAUGAGUGGGCGGAGCUUCAGCGCACCGCUCCACCGGCUGCAUCCACCUCAGCGACCUCGGUCAGGUUCAGGUGAAGAUGGCGCUAAAGAAUUAUUUCCGUGGGCAAAAUGUUCUAUGCCUGCUACAAGCUGACACUGCUAAGAUCACAUUCAACUCAAACGGAUGACACAGAAUGCAUGUACAUACGCACCUGAGCAAGAACUCUUGUGGCAAGUUUGCGGCAGAUGGAAGAGUCCAUGCCAUGAGCCACUGCUUCCACUGCAGUUGCCAAAGAAAAAAAAGCGUCACGAAGACUGCCGGAAGAGUCGUCGUCGAAUGAAACGAUGUCGAUAAGCUCUUCAAGAUUCUUUGUUGAAUCCUUUGUGCCCCUGCAAUGCGUGCACACAAAUGUUACUUUGAUCAUCCUGGCAGGCAGACCCCGGAGAGGGAAAACUACGAAGCUGCAUUCAUACCCAGUAUGUCUGAAGUGAGAGGUCACCGCCUCGGCAAGCACCCACGUGCGAGCCCAUGCUAGAC
This is a long non-coding RNA of Aegilops tauschii subsp. strangulata, 614 nucleotides long. RefSeq lists it as uncharacterized. Lineage: Eukaryota; Viridiplantae; Streptophyta; Magnoliopsida; Poales; Poaceae. The record is from RefSeq and is a predicted model, not a curated record.